Molecule: ribosomal RNA, 467 nt
Filed under: Ralstonia sp. BAB-3755
Lineage: Bacteria; Pseudomonadati; Pseudomonadota; Betaproteobacteria; Burkholderiales; Burkholderiaceae
Description: bacterial SSU rRNA
Rfam family: Bacterial small subunit ribosomal RNA
Source: RNAcentral
AUGCAGUCGAACGGCAGCGGGGGAAAGCUUGUUUUCCUGCCGGCGAGUGGCGAACGGGUGAGUAAUACAUCGGAACGUGCCCUGUAGUGGGGGAUAACUAGUCGAAAGAUUAGCUAAUACCGCAUACGACCUGAGGGUGAAAGUGGGGGACCGCAAGGCCUCAUGCUAUAGGAGCGGCCGAUGUCUGAUUAGCUAGUUGGUGGGGUAAAGGCCUACCAAGGCGACGAUCAGUAGCUGGUCUGAGAGGACGAUCAGCCACACUGGGACUGAGACACGGCCCAGACUCCUACGGGAGGCAGCAGUGGGGAAUUUUGGACAAUGGGCGAAAGCCUGAUCCAGCAAUGCCGCGUGUGUGAAGAAGGCCUUCGGGUUGUAAAGCACUUUUGUCCGGAAAGAAAUGGCUCUGGUUAAUACCCGGAGUUGAUGACGGUACCGGAAGAAUAAGGACCGGCUAACUACGUGCCAGC